UCGGGGAGCGAGAGGCCGCCACCGUCAUGUGGGAGCACGCGAGGUCUGGGCGCCGCAAGCAGCCACAUCCAGCAAGAGGCGCGCGACCCGAUCGCGCGCACUAUCCUUUGAAAGUGGCCGACCAGGUGGGGCAAUCAAAAAGCGCGCACCGAGACACACGGACGCGACGCGGGACGCAGAGGGUUCGGUGAUCGGCGCUCGCAGUCGGCUCACGUGCCACGCAGGCGAGCCCGGCUCGGCGGCGCCGAGCCGGGCGGUCGCAUUGCCGCGGUCCUGCGAGGACAGACAACCGACGAGGGCCUCGACCGCGGAAAAAAAGGCAUCGUCGGGAGUGCGCGUCUCGGUGCGUAUUGCACCGCGCGUCGUGCCCACGAUACACGCCAGCACGACGAGCGCCGUCUGCUCGGCGUUGGCGUCGAUAUCGGACCCACCCACCCAAGCGCGCACGUCCACACGGCGCCCGGCGGGACCCCAAAAGACGGGCGCCACUCGCGAGGUGGCGCCGACCUGGGCGCAUGCGAGCGACAACAAGGCGACCGAUUUCUCCCUGCCCGCUGCGUAGGCCAGAGCCGCCGCGGGGAGCCAAUCGCCGUCGAGAAUGUCGCCGACGUGGGACGGGCGCGCCGUGGCCGUUUGACGCAACAGCCAGGCAUCGAGACGCGCGUCGCUGGCCACGCGCAUGCGUUGCCUUGCGAUGGCACGCAUGCGUCGGGCAACGCACAGGCACCUCGAUAUCACGGCGCCACAGCCCAGGCGCGCAGCGCGCGUCACCGUGUCGGCGAGCAUGGCCGGGAGGUUGGGAUCGCGCUCCAGCGCUGUGACUAUGGCAUCGCGUUCAGAGUCGGCAAUGUCCCCACGAUAGGCCAGGAUCUCGACGUCCUCGGCGAUCAUCUCCAUGCGCGGCAUGCGAUGACACACAAGCAUGAGCGCGCCGAGAACGCGCGCAAAGUCGGCGUCGGGUGCCGGUGCCACGAGCGCCAUCACGGGUGUGCCAUCUCUGGCGACAUCGAUGCUACCGCCACAAGCGACGCUGGUCAAGUUGCGGGUCUCGGCACCGAGCGUUGCACGGCACGCAACGCGCCACACGGCCCCGAGUGCUGUGCGGGAUGCCGUAAACAGCGAGACGGCAUCCCACGGGUUCAGGAAUGCGACGAUCUCGGCACAAACCCCGACCCGGUGCUCCAAGAGGCCUAGCAGCGUGGCAGAGUCGGCGUCGAUACCGUCGACCAUCGCGUCGCGCCGAUCGUGGCCAAAGUGUGACACGCUGCGAUCGUCGCCCUCGGCGUUGGCCACGGUAAUCGCGCCUCGCGAAUUAGGUGCGCGGGGCGCACGGCCGACAUUGAUACCGCAGGCGCGGCGGUGGCGCAAUACCGCGCGCGUCUUUGUAGCGCGACGCACGUUAUCCGUGGGCAGCGGCUCGGGUUUUGCGCUGUUGAGCGCGCUCCAAAAGGACUCGGCACGCGCCUUGGCCAAGUCCAGCGCAACAGACGCCCACACGCGCGCCGUCAGCGAAUGCGCGCGCAGCCCGCCGGGGCAAUCGAUGGGCGACGCGAGGACAAGAACGCGGGCGAUGGCCAUGCGGGCCGCCUCCGUGGUGCGCGGCAUGGCGGCGGGCUGUUGCGUUGCCAUGGCACACAGCCGAUUGCAUGCCUCGUCAAGGUCAGAUGCCGCAGACGCGUCAGGCCGAUCGCCGCAUCCUGCCCUCACGGCACCGUCCAUCAAGCCGUCGCUGGCGAUGCGCCUCAGAAGUCGCGAGGUGCGCUCAUCGUCGCCAUCAUGAGCGUCGCCGCCGUCGCCAUCAUGAGCAUCGCCGCCGUCGCCAUGGGCGUCGAUGUCGAUGCGACACGGGGGGUCGGAUGCACACCGCGCCUGCGAGAGACCGCGCACGACUGCCGCGACCAAGCGACAAGAGGCCAAAUAGGCGCGCUCGCCGUUGCUGGUCGGUUCAGCGAGGCGCCUGCCGAGAUGAGAGAACCCGCGUCCCGUCGCGAGGUUGGUCGACGCGAUCCGACACGCCAGCGUCAAGAGCAGAUCUGAUCGGAGCCGUCCGGCUGCUGUCGCCAGACCGAUGGCCGAUGCCCACACGUCGGUCGUGGCCAGACCGACUGCGGCACCCUCUACGACGCCCAUGACGUCGGCCAGCCAUGCAUCCACGCGCGCGGUAUCGUCCGGGCGUUUCCGAGUACGGCCAAGGCAAGCGCUAUAUGCGGUGCUCGCAGCGCUCAGCGAUUCGCUCAGGUCCAGGCAGGCAUUAAUGGCCGCGCCACAACGUGUGGCUGAUGCCCAGAUGAGUGUUUGUUCCACGGCGUCGCGCUCAUAGGCGGCAGAGGGUAGAGAUAUCUUUGCGGUCGUCGUCGCGUGUCGGCCGAGCGCAUGUUGCACCAAAGCGUAUUUGCUCUGUAGGCGCGGAACCACGCGCACCACCAACCACGCGGCUCCCACACGCACUUGGAAAGGCACGUUGCGCGGCGACACCCACACCUCGGCUCUGUGGUGCUGGGCAUCGGCCAACCGGUCGCCGGUCGCGCGCACCAUCCCGGAAGAACAAAAGGGUCCGUCGGCGCGCGCAAGCACGUCAGCCAACACGUAUUGCGUGGCCAGCGACGUGCGCCACAGGGCAAAUAAAUCGCACAGACCAAGCCUGUGGAUCACGGCGGCGGCCAGCGUGCCGUCGUGAUGGCCCAACAUGGCGACUAUACAGCCGCAUAGCGUGCGUGCAGGCUCACACGACAAUGGGGGCAGGCGACGCGUCGGCGGAUCGCCUCCAUUUUCUGUAUCCGACCGGGCGCCACCACCGCCUCCUCUGGCAUUGCAAAAUCGCUGCCUGUCGUCGUUGUUGCUGUUCCCGCCAGCGGCGUUGGUGCCGCCACACGGGCCGGUAUCGACGUCGCGGCCGUCUGCGUCGCGGCGCGCACGCAACGCACCCUUGCCUGAUGCAUUGCCGCUGCCCUCCAUUCACGUUGGCCCUAGGCACGUCUGUGCGUGGUGCUGGUGUGGGUAAAAAAAUAAACAAUAGGUUGUCUUGGCCUGCUCGAUGGCAC
Molecule: long non-coding RNA, 3041 nt
Filed under: Pandoravirus neocaledonia
Description: hypothetical ncRNA
Source: RNAcentral